RNAcentral lists this ribosomal RNA (460 nucleotides) under uncultured bacterium. RNAcentral describes it as "partial 16S ribosomal RNA". It matches the Rfam family "Bacterial small subunit ribosomal RNA", at positions 338 to 795 of the family's 1533-position model. The record is from RNAcentral.
CCUACGGGAGGCAGCAGUGAGGAAUAUUGGUCAAUGGACGAGAGUCUGAACCAGCCAAGUAGCGUGAAGGAUGACUGCCCUAUGGGUUGUAAACUUCUUUUAUAUGGGAAUAAAAUGUUCCACGUGUGGGAUUUUGUAUGUACCAUAUGAAUAAGGAUCGGCUAACUCCGUGCCAGCAGCCGCGGUAAUACGGAGGAUCCGAGCGUUAUCCGGAUUUAUUGGGUUUAAAGGGAGAGUAGGUGGAUUGUUAAGUCAGUUGUGAAAGUUUGCGGCUCAACCGUAAAAUUGCAGUUGAAACUGGCAGUCUUGAGUACAGUAGAGGUGGGCGGAAUUCGUGGUGUAGCGGUGAAAUGCUUAGAUAUCACGAAGAACUCCGAUUGCGAAGGCAGUUCACUGGACUGCAACUGACACUGAGGCUCGAAAGUGUGGGUAUCAAACAGGAUUAGAUACCCGUGUAGUC